Molecule: ribosomal RNA, 253 nt
Filed under: uncultured bacterium
Lineage: Bacteria
Description: partial 16S ribosomal RNA
Rfam family: Bacterial small subunit ribosomal RNA
Source: RNAcentral
UACGUAGGGUGCGAGCGUUGUCCGGAAUUACUGGGCGUAAAGAGCUCGUAGGUGGUUUGUCGCGUUGUCCGUGAAAACUCACAGCUCAACUGUGGGCGUGCGGGCGAUACGGGCAGACUGGAGUACUGCAGGGGAGACUGGAAUUCCUGGUGUAGCGGUGGAAUGCGCAGAUAUCAGGAGGAACACCGAUGGCGAAGGCAGCUCGCUGGGACGGUACUGACGCUGAGGCGCGAAAGCGUGGGGAGCAAACAGG